Molecule: long non-coding RNA, 477 nt
Filed under: Mytilus galloprovincialis (Mediterranean mussel)
Lineage: Eukaryota; Metazoa; Mollusca; Bivalvia; Mytilida; Mytilidae
Source: RNAcentral
CUUUAAAUUCAGUUGAAAAAUUUCCAGGAUUCAAUGUUAUAUUUCCAAAAGUGAACAUCAAAAAAUUGAAAUUGGUAAACAAUGUUCUCAGCAGUCUAUAGCAAGCCAAGGAUUUGUAUAGUAAAUCCUUGAGCAAGCAAACCAUAAAAUGGCUGUUCAGAAAAAAUCAAGGAUUUGUAUGGUAAGAUGUUACUAUACAAAUACUUGAAAAAAUAAAGGUGAGGGAUCUCAGAAGGAAAAUCAACAUCUAUAAAAUUUAAUGGAUUUCCUAUAUAUUUGAACUGUAUGUAAAAAAUAAUCAUCACCACUUAUCAAAUGUUAAUAGUGGUGCCCUCCAGCUAAUAUUUCUAUGAAGACAAUAUAGAAGAAAAAAUAACCAAAUCUGUAUUUUACUACCUUUUGUGGAUAUGGGCAUAUUAUAAGGUAAUAAAGAAACCUCAACUUUGUAAUAAAUGUCUAAUCAAUUUAUAUGUCUAG